AUGCUUGCUCAAGGAAGAAAGGAGAAGGAAAGGGGAGGUACCAGCUAUAUCUUUUCCUUCUCAUCAGGAGAAGCAAAAGCUCUCUCAGAGCCCUGGCCCAGUCCCAGUGAGUCUCCAGUUUUCUCUCCUAACACCAUUCAGUGGACACAAAAGGUGAGUGGAAGUCUCUCCACUAAGUAUUUCGUAAACUCAGCUUUUUCUGCCUCAUCUCCAUUGCAUCUCUAGUGAUUCUGCUAUUCUGCCCUGUAUGUGGGUGCUCUAAGACUUUUAUUUCUAAGCCAACUUUUACUAUUAGGGGAAGGAAUAGUGGGUGCCUGUCUCACCAGGUGCAGUAUCAUUUCACGUUAUGAAGGCGGAAUAGAUCAGGUUUUCCAUAUUUGCUUCUACUGGGAAAAGUCUUUCAAUCCUCAUCAGUUGACUUCUCUACCAGUUGAAUCUUGUGAAUCCUUCCUUGGGUUUGACAAAGGCUGGGCUCAGCUGUGACUUUUUAAAUCAGCUCUCUCGAGAUGUCCAUGCUGCCCUUUUCUACUUCUUUCUGACCCUUUUGUCCCUGCCCCUCUUCCUUUCCUCCUGUCCUCUCUGCGUGUUUGUGUUCUUGCCCAACAUCUGCCCUUGGCCCACAGGGCAAGUUCCGCUCUGGGUAUUGUCUAUUUUUUUUCUUUCUUUCUUUUUUUUUUUUUUUUUGCAACAUCUCCCUCAGGGCAAUAAACACAAAUUUGCAUUUCA
Molecule: long non-coding RNA, 726 nt
Filed under: Felis catus (domestic cat)
Lineage: Eukaryota; Metazoa; Chordata; Mammalia; Carnivora; Felidae
Description: lncRNA (ENSFCAG00000048264.1)
Source: RNAcentral